RNAcentral lists this long non-coding RNA (240 nucleotides) under Ananas comosus (pineapple). RNAcentral's name for it is "long non-coding RNA (ACOM_LNC010874)". Lineage: Eukaryota; Viridiplantae; Streptophyta; Magnoliopsida; Poales; Bromeliaceae. The record is from RNAcentral.
AUAUCAAAUUAACAUAUUUGAUAUAUGACAACCAAAGAAUUUCUGUACGAAUAAAUCCGACCGUCCCUAAAGCAAGUGACAAAAGACUUGGUAAUUUGGUACUCAAGACCCAAGUUCGAAUCCUAGUUGAUUCACAUUUCCAGCUAAGUUUAUUUCUAAAUGAAAUAAACGAAGCUGGUAGCAUGUUACCUAUCUCUAUCAAAAAAAAUAAUAAAAUAAAAUAAAUAUGAUUUAUUUUAA